UUCCAGAAUCUUCAUUAUUACUCCUUAUAAGGAAAUGUUGCCAGUGAAAAAGAAAACACUCCCAUGCAAACACGGGCAAUUUAACUGGAUACCUUUUAUGAGGUACAGUCUGCAGAGAAGGGCACGGUUGAAUGGGGUCAAUCAGGAGAUGGGAGAUGUGGCAAUCUGGGAUUUCCCUUGUCUUCUGACUUCUACCCUGGUGGAAACUGAACCCCAGCAGUACUCUCACUCAAGCUCUUGA
Molecule: long non-coding RNA, 241 nt
Filed under: Cyanistes caeruleus (blue tit)
Lineage: Eukaryota; Metazoa; Chordata; Aves; Passeriformes; Paridae
Description: lncRNA (ENSCCEG00000023786.1)
Source: RNAcentral